AAGUGGCCCUCAUGCUAGGUUCACUCCCUUCUUGGACCCUGGUUCACACAUUACACACCGAAAUGGUGAGAACAACAAGAGUGAGUUGAUGACUCAGUAAGUAGAAAUCCAUAAUUCUUCUAAAGGAUGACACAUCGUCGAUUGUUAGAUACAAGGUCACCACCCACUUAUUGAUGGCAAAUCAAUAACAAAGUUUGUGCCUUGCCUUGCUUAUGC
RNAcentral lists this long non-coding RNA (216 nucleotides) under Eucalyptus grandis. RNAcentral's name for it is "long non-coding RNA (EGRA_LNC000671)". The record is from RNAcentral. Lineage: Eukaryota; Viridiplantae; Streptophyta; Magnoliopsida; Myrtales; Myrtaceae.